GAUGAACGCUGGCGGCGUGCCUAAUACAUGCAAGUCGAGCGAACAGAUGAGGAGCUUGCUCCUCUGACGUUAGCGGCGGACGGGUGAGUCACACGUGGAUAACCUACCUCUAAGACUGGGAUAACUUCGGGAAACCGGAGCUAAUACCGGAUAAUAUAUUGAACCGCAUGGUUCAAUAGUGAAAGACGGUUUUGCUGUCACUUAUAGAUGGAUACGCGCCGCAUUAGCUAGUUGGUAAGGUAACGGCUUACCAAGGCAACGAUGCGUAGCCGACCUGAGAGGGUGAUCGGCCACACGGGAACUGAGACACGGUCCAGACUCCUACGGGAGGCAGCAGUAGGGAAUCUUCCGCGAGGGGCGAAAGCCUGACGGAGCAACGCCGCGUGAGUGAUGAAGGUCUUCGGAUCGUAAAACUCUGUAAUUAGGGAAGAACAAAUGUGUAAGUAACUAUGCACGUCUUGACGGUACCUAAUCAGAAAGCCACGGCUAACUACGUG
This 497-nucleotide ribosomal RNA is filed under the name uncultured bacterium. Its description in RNAcentral is "partial 16S ribosomal RNA". It matches the Rfam family "Bacterial small subunit ribosomal RNA", at positions 28 to 507 of the family's 1533-position model. The record is from RNAcentral.